UGUGGGAGCGGGCUUGCCUGCGAUGGCGCGGUGUCAGGUUAGAUAUAGUUGACUGACCCACCGCCAUCGCGGGCAAGCCCGCUCCCACA
RNAcentral lists this unclassified non-coding RNA (89 nucleotides) under Pseudomonas gessardii. The record is from RNAcentral. Lineage: Bacteria; Pseudomonadati; Pseudomonadota; Gammaproteobacteria; Pseudomonadales; Pseudomonadaceae.